UAGCAUCCAGAUUCUGCAAUAAUGAGAUUAGAUUUCCUUCCUUGUACUAUAAAUAGUGGCCUCAAGUAUUACUUCUCACCAUCUCAAGGCGCAAAGUGCUCAUGUUAUUGAGUUCUGAAUUCCUUCUUCCUUUUUCUUUUUGACUAGAAGUCGCCUUCCAAGGUCUAGAUGCAUAACGUAAUUGAGAUGAUACAAUAUAUUUUAUCAAAACCCAAUUUCAUAUUCGUUGUGAGACACAAGUGUAGUCUUCUAAAAGCCAAAAAUCCAUCAGUAUCAAGAAUUAUUCCCAUGAAUAUGAUAACAAGCUCAAUUAAAAUUUUGAUCGGUUCAGCGAUUUACCAGAUUUUUUCAUCGAGCAAUCGAAGCCAUUGCCUAGGACAAAAUGAGCUGUGGAAAUGCAGCUGUUGAGGUCAGAUGAAGGAAACUGAAAGGAUGGAAUCGUCUGGGGAAAAGGUGUGCAGAUUUCUGAUUCAGGCUGUUGCUCAAUGGGAAUGGAAGGGUUAAGUAGGUCAACAAGUUCCUUCCUUGUUAGGAGAAACUGACCGCCACCACCAAGAUUCACCUGAAAAGCCUGUAAGAUUAUCUGCUGAAAUCAGUUCAUCACUUCCUCAGGAAAUUCCAAUCUUGCCUCCAGUUUUCAAACACCACGGCAGCAACAACAACAGAUUCCACAAGCACAGCCGCAACGGCAUAAGCACAACAACGACGGCAACAAGCAUAUCAAUGAUAGGAUAUUCAUCUCUUGACAGAUGGCCGUAUUCAUUGAAUGAUUUUUGGCUUCAAUUGCAUGAACGUUGAUUAUGGCUUUAUUCUGAAUGAUUUUUUAUCUGCAUUGCAAGAACAUUGAUGAUGGCUUUAUGUCCCAUUUUGAAUUGUCUUAGCUUCAUUAUAUUUUUAUCUGCAAUAAUGAAUAAUAAAGAAGUUUAUUGCUUUUU
This is a long non-coding RNA of Mangifera indica (mango), 935 nucleotides long. RefSeq lists it as uncharacterized. Lineage: Eukaryota; Viridiplantae; Streptophyta; Magnoliopsida; Sapindales; Anacardiaceae. The record is from RefSeq and is a predicted model, not a curated record. The transcript is spliced from 3 exons.